Molecule: long non-coding RNA, 4055 nt
Filed under: Carica papaya (papaya)
Lineage: Eukaryota; Viridiplantae; Streptophyta; Magnoliopsida; Brassicales; Caricaceae
Description: long non-coding RNA (CPAP_LNC000548)
Source: RNAcentral
AUCUCUUCACUCAAAUUCAGUUCAAAUCUCUCAUACACAUAUUAUUCCAUUCGGAUUUAAUUUGGAUCUCUCACACACAUACAUCUCUCUAUGUGACUUCAAUUCGAAUCUCACAUACACACACAUACGUCUCCAUUCAAAUUCAAUUCGUAUCUUAUAUACACACAUUUCUCUCCACUCAGAUCAAAUUUAGAUCUUUCAUAAAGAUACAUAUCUCCCUACUCAAAUUUAAUUUUAACUUAAAAGAAAAUAUCAAAUAAAAUAUCAACGCACGACAUAUAAAGAAAUCUCAAAUAAAAUACACCGAAACUCACAUUUUUAUGUAUUUAGUUUUUAAACUUUGUUUAGGAUAUUCAUCAAGCGAUGUCAUUAUAUCGCUAUUAAGAAGAGGCGAGGAUUCCCCUAUCACAUGGAUAACAUACAUAAAUCUCACAUUGAUCAUAAUAGGUACAUUUACUAGGUGAUCUGAACACUCAUAUAUACAUAUAAAUGUCUGAACUAGAUUUUAUAUCUUUAUCCAUUUGCAAGUUCACCAUAUUCUCUGCUAAAUUUAGCACAUGUAUGCACUCUCCUUUUUUAUUCACGACUAACGAAUUAAGUAUCUUAUUAAUGUUUUUGAAUAAUUUAUUUUUUUAUUUCACAAUUUAAAACAUAGCUUAACUUAAGUAUCUUAUUAAUGCUUUUGAAUAAUUUAUUUUUUUAUUUCACAAUUUAAAACAUAGCUUAACUUAAGGUUUUUAUUCCUACUCAUAGAAUUGAACACAUAUCUACCACAUACACACACAUGCAUAACAGUACAGAACGAGUACCUUUAUUACAUUCCAUACACAAGUUCAAUAUGCUUAUAUACAUGUCCACGCACAUUUACCUCUAUAUAUUUAUGUGUACACGCAGAAUUCAUAUUUUUCACUCGACUAUUACAUUUCUACUCGAAUAUCAUACUUGAUAUAUAUAUAUAUAUAUAUCUAUUCAUUACACACACAUGACAAUAUCCAAAUAUAUAUAUUUCACGCACAUAUACUCGUAGGCACUAUUUAUACAUGUAUAUUAAUGUAUAUUUACACAUAACUAAUACACAUUCAAGCACACGUUUACAUAUACAUAAUGCAUAUAUAUAUAUAUAUAUAUCUAUUCAUUACACACACAUGACAAUAUCCAAAUAUAUAUAUUUCACGCACAUAUACUCGUAGGCACUAUUUAAUAUACAUGUAUAUUAAUGUAUAUUUACACAUAACUAAUACACAUUCAAGCACACGUUUACAUAUGCAUAAUGCACACACAUAAUGACAUUCCGAUGUACUGUAUGUACAUAUACAAACAAAUUAUUCACAUAAUUUACAUUUAUAUAUAUACAUACAUACACAAUUACGCAUACAUUCAUAUCAUACAACUACACGGUAUAUAUAUUAUAUGCAUUAAAAUGCACAUUUACCAUUCAUACAUACAUAUAAGUUUAUUAACGUGUACACUAACACAUACAUACACUUAAAUGUUCACGCACACAUCUACAUAUAUAUACAUGUUUACACAUAUACAUGAUAAUAUCUCUGUAUAGAGUUAACUCAAAUCUUACCUGAAAUUGGAUCGAAAAAAAGUUUCAAAAUUUAUACUGGUUCAAGCCUACGGUCUUUUCUAAAUUUACUACCACUUAAAUAUUUUCCUCAUUUAUAAACAGAAAACAUAUGUAUUAAACGAUGUGUAUUUUUAGAUAAUAAAUAAAUAUAAUACGAAAGAUAAAGAGAUUUUUACAUUAGACAUGCGGUUCACGAUUACUAGAGUCACUAUGUGCCACCAUACGUGUCGCCACAUGUGGUUCACUGGGAUCACCACGCUGUGCUGCACGCGCCAUAGCCAUAAUCAGCAUGCGCCAUCGCCAGAUGUGCCACUUGCUGGAUCGAUAUCUAGAUACACGAUGCAAUCCUGAUAAUUCAUUUCUCUGUAUUUUCUUACCAUUAAAUCAAAUAAAUCUCACGAGUCCACUAAGCAAUGUACAUGGAUGAAAUCGCCUUACCCAAUUGGUCAGCUUUGGCACCUCACUUGCUAAGGUGUCAAACUUACUGAAAUUUCACCCAAACCCCCUUUUCGCAUUUUUCAUUCAUUUUGGUCCUUUUUAAUUAUAGAAAGCUCCCAAAAUUUUAAUUUUUCUUUUUUUAUGUCCCUAAACCCUUAAUUUAUAAUUUUUUAUUUUUAAUUUAAUUUUUAAAAUUUUAUUUGGAGUUAGUAAUUACUGUAUUUUCCUAAAAUUUAAUAAAUUUUCUAUGCGUGGGUAUUGUAAAUUGUUUUUAAAUAUUAUUUUAAAUUUUCUUUUAUUUUUAAUUAAUACUUCAAAAUUUUAAUUAUUUACUAAGAUAUUACUUAAAAAAAAUGAAUAAAAAUUUUAUUUGCAUGACAUAUGUGAUAAAUAAUUUUCUAUCUACUUCCUAUAUGUAAUAAACAAUUUUUACUAGCAAAUCAUAGUCGUCCUACGACCAUCUUUAGUUGUGGUCUCUAAUAUGACGUUUGUUAUUCCUAAUGCAUUUUUCACCAUCUAACUACUACUCAUUUUGUUACUCUUCACUUUAAUUGUUCUUAAGUUAGUUAUUGAUUUCUAUUUCUAAAUUGAUCCAAUCUUUUGAGAACACAUAACUUCAAGAUGUUAAGAAUUAUUUACCAUCUGCACUAUAAUGAUUUUGAUACUAUCAUAAACACAUGAGAUAUUAGCAACUUUUGAGUUGGAGAUGUUCAUCGAUCCAAAAAAAUAGACUGAAAUCAGAUGAAGAUUUAGUAUAAAAAUUAAAUUGUUUUAAUUUCGGUUUGGACCGUUUAGACCAACCUAUUUUGCUUUUUGCAGCCUCUAAAGCCGACAGAGAUCUUCAAGGACAAGAAAAAAGACAGCAGAAGAGAGAUGAUUAUACCAGGUCUUCACAGAAGAUAUAUUUGAAGAAAUACAAGAGGAGAAUAAUUGACCAUGGAACUUCUGCAGCAUAAUCAAAUAUAACGAAAUGGAAGGUCAUAUUUUUCUGUUGGCAGAUAGCAGAGCAUAAAUAACAUGCUUUUAGCCUGCUAAGCAUGCCAAAACAGAAGUAGACAACAUACAAAAAUUUACAUGAAUGUUAAUGAACUUGAAACAUCCCUAUUAGAAGAAUUCCAAUGAAUUUUGUUUCUUUUUUCAGCUUCUUCCAUUGCAGAGGUGAAUGACACCAUUGCCAUGGUCCUUCCUCUUCAUGUUAGAUUGAUCUAGGCCCCAUAUUCGGAUGGUACGAUCAUCACUGGCUGAAGCUAGCAUAUGGAGGUUUGUAGGACUCCAGCUUACACAGUUAACAGCCCCGGAAUGACCAGGCAGGGCCAGCAGAAGCUCCCCUGAGCAUCUGUGCCAUAUAUAUACCUGUAACAGGAAAUAGUAAAAGUGAAGGUCAACCCAUAAAAUCAGCUUUGAAGAACAAGUGACACAGACAUAAAAUCAUCUUUGAAGAACAAGUGACAGACAUGAAAUCAUCUUUGAAGAACAAGUGCCCAACAGGCAUGUAAACGAUCUUAAGAUGUCAUGGACACAGAUGAAAUAUGGAAGGGAUACACCACCUCUUAAUUUAGGAGCUAGCAGAUUCCACCAUAUCAAAAAAAAAUUGAAAAAUAUCAAAUGCAUUUCUUUUGCAAGGUACCAUACCUUUUUUCUAUUCAGUAACUAAAUGAAUUUGAUUCAACUCCAAUUUAGAUAGUUCCAUAUUACUUGAAUCCUAUCUGGUCAUCUAACAACAUUCAUUUCCCCACAUGAUAAUGUACAUGGGAUCUGGUGGUAAGCAACAGAUGAUAUUGCCACAAGUUAAUUACAAAGGAAUUAACCUACCACUGGCCCUAACCCCAUCCGUACCUACCUACCAUAAACAUUUUUCCAUUUCACCUCUCUUAGGGGAGUAAAUAUAUGACCCAAUAAUCUUUCACAAAUUCCUUAGACAAACACAAGCAAAAGAGACUACUCAUCCACAUUACCAGACAUUUCAUACUUUACUUAAAUAUAAAAUUUGCUUAGAAGUAGUUCCUUAAGAAGGUUCUAUGUGGUAUGAAAGAGUAGGUAANNN